Molecule: small nuclear RNA, 91 nt
Filed under: Microtus ochrogaster (prairie vole)
Lineage: Eukaryota; Metazoa; Chordata; Mammalia; Rodentia; Cricetidae
Source: RNAcentral
GUGUUGUAUGAAAGGAGAGAAGGUUAGCAUACCUCUUGACAAGGAUGGAAGAAGCCCUUGGGCCUAAUAACAUGCAUAUGGUUAAGUUUAA